Molecule: unclassified non-coding RNA, 256 nt
Filed under: uncultured Russula
Lineage: Eukaryota; Fungi; Basidiomycota; Agaricomycetes; Russulales; Russulaceae
Description: sequence contains ITS2
Source: RNAcentral
ACAUCCUCAACCUGCUUGGUUCUAUCGAACCAAGUAGGCUUGGAAUUUGGAGGUUUUUCUGCUGGCUUCCUCUGAAGAAGCCAGCUCCUCUUAAAUCUAUCAGUGGGAUCCGCUUUGCUAGAUCCUCGACGUUGAUAAGAUGUUUCUACGUCUUGGGUUUCGCUCGGGAAGGACCUGCUUCUAACCGUCCCCAUCGGGGACAAUGUUCGAGAGCCGAUCGCCCUUCACGGGGUGGGAAGCUUUUCGACCCAUGAAA